This 392-nucleotide transfer-messenger RNA is filed under the name Bacillota bacterium. RNAcentral describes it as "Firmicutes bacterium (gut metagenome) transfer-messenger RNA". It matches the Rfam family "transfer-messenger RNA". From Rfam's summary of the family: Bacterial tmRNA, also known as 10Sa RNA or SsrA, is named for its dual tRNA and mRNA-like properties. Its role is to liberate the mRNA from a stalled ribosome. To accomplish this part of the tmRNA is used as a reading frame that ends in a translation stop signal. Lineage: Bacteria; Bacillati; Bacillota. RNAcentral also lists the same sequence under 1 other name. The record is from RNAcentral.
GGGCCUGUUUAGGAUUUGAUUGCAGGCGGAGUUUGACGGACGCACGUCGGAGGCUCGGCUCCGUAACAACGGAACUCAAUUUAAAUGCUGACAAGACUGAAAGAAGGUCGGCUGUCGCUCGUCGCGCUUCGGCGCGCCGUGUGGCGCUUGCGGCUUAACUGAUUUAAGCCCCGUCCCAUCCCGAUUGCCUACGGUCGGGAAUGGGGCGUCAAAAAAGUAGGGAACCUACUUCGGGGGAAAACUUCCGCCCCUGAAGAGGAUUAUAGGGAAGUAUGCCCAAGGAGCAGGUUGUCUGUGAACUGCCCGCGGGCGAGAUCUGAUCACAGACUAAGCGUGUAGUGUCCGCAGACAAACCCUGUAAGACCGCGGUUCGAUUCCGCGCAGGUCCACCA